Molecule: ribosomal RNA, 328 nt
Filed under: uncultured eukaryote
Lineage: Eukaryota
Description: partial 18S ribosomal RNA
Rfam family: Eukaryotic small subunit ribosomal RNA
Source: RNAcentral
CCCUUAGAUGUCCUGGGCCGCACGCGCGUUACACUGAUGCAUUCAACGAGCUUAUAACCUUGGCCGAGAGGCCUGGGCAAUCUUGUUAACGUGCAUCGUGAUGGGGAUAGAUUAUUGAAAUUAUUAAUCUUGAACGAGGAAUUCCUAGUAAACGCAGAUCAUCAAUCUGCAUUGAUUACGUCCCUGCCCUUUGUACACACCGCCCGUCGCACCUACCGAUUGGAUGGUCCGGUGAAGCCUCGGGAUUGUGGUUCUUGCCGCUUUAUUGUGGCGUGACCGCGAGAACUUGUCUAAACCUUAUCAUCUAGAGGAAGGUGAAGUCGUAACA